This 212-nucleotide long non-coding RNA is filed under the name Lathyrus oleraceus (garden pea). RNAcentral's name for it is "Pisum sativum (pea) long non-coding RNA (PSAT_LNC022591)". The record is from RNAcentral. Lineage: Eukaryota; Viridiplantae; Streptophyta; Magnoliopsida; Fabales; Fabaceae.
AAUUUUUAAAAAAAUAAAAAUAAAAUGAUGGGUGCUCUAUCUAGGAUGACAAAUCCCUUCCCGGUGUCUGAUUCGUCCGUCAUCUUGGAUGGAGGAGGCAAAACAAAAUAUACUAAAAUAAACUAAAAAGGACAAAAAAAAUUUUUUUGUUAAGGUAGUGGUAUUUUGGGACAUUAAUUUCAGGGUUGUAGCAUUAGAGUAAAAAAUCGUUU